UAGUGUGUUUGUUAAACACUAUAUAGCAUGCAUUAUAAAACCUUUAGGAAAAUUACCUGUACACCUUAUUGUAAUUAUUUUUGAUGUUUCUGAAAGAUUGAUCGAGAGCAGGACAGAAGAGUCCUCCCUGAGGAGUGGCCCCAGUGGAUCCCCAGAUUCCCACAGAAGAUUCAGACAGCGAGAGAGAGGAGCCUCCAACAACGAGUGGCGGCCCAAGGUACCUCCAGACAUUUCCAAAUCAAGAACCGAUAGAUCUUUAAGGACAGUCAUUGAAGUGUUCAGUUUUAAUGAUAUGUCACUGUUUGGAUUCUCUGUCUGAUAUGUGUAAAUGUGGCUCAAACUUGAAACUAAUCUUGCAGAGUCCGCCUAAUACCCAUUGUGAAUAUGAUGUUUGUUAUUAUGUGUUUGAUAGAUGUUUAUGGAUCGAAUUGAAGAAAAAUUGACACUGCUUAUUUAAACAGGCUGUUAAUGCUUGUCAUAUUUACAUUUGUUGGAAUUCAGCUAAUUGUAUUCAGGAUGUUAUUUUAUUUAUUUUCAUAUUUCUAUGCAUUAGCUCAGUAUUUUAUACUUUUUGUUAUUUAAAGAUAAAUCCGUAUUGUGAUCAGACUUGAUUAAAAAAACAUUGCACUUCUAA
Molecule: long non-coding RNA, 634 nt
Organism: Gadus macrocephalus (Pacific cod)
Lineage: Eukaryota; Metazoa; Chordata; Actinopteri; Gadiformes; Gadidae
Exons: 3
Source: RefSeq, a predicted model, not a curated record